CAUUUUAACAGGCGUUGAACGAACUUCAUGCUGAAAGGAGAAGACCGGUUUUACAACCAUGUGAUGCGUCAACAAAUAAAGCAAGCUGCGGCCUAACGAGGGCAAUGUUUUGACCGUGCAGAGAAAAUACACAGGAGGUGAUGAAGAUAGCAUCUGAGCUGGACUAACCUCAACGUGUUACAAGGAGGACUGACCUUAUAGGAUUUUUAAAGCAUCAAGCUCGUCUUUGGUAGAAUUGUAAAUGAAACCUGCGUUUCUCCAGCCGUGAACCGAAAUUCAAUUACUUGGCCCAUGAAGAUUUUUUAAAAGAGGAAAACUGAUGUCCACUCUCCUUAAGAUCAGCACUAAGCCAGAAUUCCGAUUGUUAAAUGUCAUGAUAAGGUCAUUUGUAGGAGUGAUCGAUAAAUCAUUCAUACAGUCUACAAGACUCUGAGCCAUUAAUCCUGACACAGUUGGUCAUUUGAGAUAUUUAGCCUUUCUCUCAGUUGUGUGAAGUACCAAAAGAAAAGUCAUGAGAUUUGGGCUUUACUGAAGUAGGGAAGUUCUCAGAAAGAAUCUUCCUGUACAAAUAGUCUUCUUAUAACUUAAGUAUCUUAAUAACCUAACUCGAGAAUAACUUCGGUAAUAGGAUUUCUAAAGAGCCAAAGUUGAUUUCUUUACAAUGAAGAUAAUACCAAUAUAUUUCUAAUAUCUGAUUUUCAAAUAGAUCGCAUCAGUAGUCAAAGCAAUUGAAUGAUAAUUUAGCCACUAUGCAUUUGCCUAUU
Argiope bruennichi is the source of this 764-nucleotide long non-coding RNA. RefSeq lists it as uncharacterized. The transcript has 3 exons. Lineage: Eukaryota; Metazoa; Arthropoda; Arachnida; Araneae; Araneidae. The record is from RefSeq and is a predicted model, not a curated record.